Non-coding RNA from Steccherinum ochraceum, 84 nucleotides. Lineage: Eukaryota; Fungi; Basidiomycota; Agaricomycetes; Polyporales; Steccherinaceae. The record is from the annotation of a GenBank genome assembly.
GCAUUAAUGGGGUAGUGGUAACCUGGGUCGUUGCCAUGCGGACGAUAACUCGACCCGCCGGGGGUUCGAUUCCCCCUUAAUGCA